This is a long non-coding RNA of Mauremys reevesii (Reeves's turtle), 935 nucleotides long. RefSeq lists it as uncharacterized. NCBI's taxonomy places the organism in Eukaryota, Metazoa, Chordata, Testudines, Geoemydidae. The transcript has 4 exons. The record is from RefSeq and is a predicted model, not a curated record.
CUUGGUGAGACCGGGGGGCGGAGCCGCCCCAGCCAGGGAGUUGAUCCCUGUCCUAGUUACCAGCCCGGAACAAGCCUGUCAGUGUUAGGAGGUGACACAGCAGUGGUGACCCGGGGGGCUGCGGCGCUUGCUCAUGCUUUGGGUUGGCAGCAGUGCAUCACGGGACGGCACGGUGGAUGGGGCAUUCCAGGCACGGUGUAGUAUGGAAGAAUACAAGAAGCCAAGGUAUGUGUACCACUGUUCUCUAGUGGAUGGACUAUGAGAUGUUCUUGUGUGUGUAAUCAUCAUAAACAUACAUUCUGUACUGAGGACGGUUGCACUGACCAGAGUCACCUGGUUGAUGGUGUUGCACCAGCCAUCAUGAAGUGAAGUUCCCAGAUCUGGCUCAAUCCUGCAGAUCCACAAAUCUCUGGAGAGGCCUCAUGAGUGGCACUAGGUGACAUGGCUGAUGAGCAUGCAACACCACUUUUUAAUAAAAUGAGUGAUUGAAGGAAGGACAGAGCUCUUCAUAACUGUGACAUUUCACUCAAAGUCAAACCACUUUAUACUCAGUAUUUGGUGCUGAAAGUGCACAUGGAAUGCCUCUAGCAGCUCCAAGUCUGCCAGGAAAUUGUGUAAGAGUGAGAGAUUAUCUUGCCACCUAGUGGCACAGUUUACAAACUAUUUAUUGAACUCUAAAAAUGUGAUAUCAGCUGAAGUAUGAACAUUUAAGUGUUGGAGAUCAUGUCAUCCUUUUGUCUCUGAAACCUAUGCAGGAUAUCAAGCCUAAAAUUAGUGUACAAGCAUCUACAAGUUUGUGAGGGAUGAAAACAAAUUUGGGUCUUACAUAGGCUUGCCACUUUUUCAACUGGCAAUAGUGUGAUAUUGUGGUAUUUCUCCUAGUGCAUGUCAAAAAAAAAAUCCUAUUUUUCAACAAUGUCCUUGUUUUGUAUGAA